GAUGAACGCUGGCGGCGUGCUUAACACAUGCAAGUCGAACGGGAAAUAUUUCAUUGAGCCUUCGGUGGAUUUGAUUUAUUUCUAGUGGCGGACGGGUGAGUAACGCGUGGGUAACCUGCCUUAUACAGGGGGAUAACAGUCAGAAAUGGCUGCUAAUACCGCAUAAGCGCACAGAGCUGCAUGGCUCAGUGUGAAAAACUCCGGUGGUAUAAGAUGGACCCGCGUUGGAUUAGCUAGUUGGUGGGGUAACGGCCCACCAAGGCGACGAUCCAUAGCCGGCCGGAGAGGGUGAACCGCCACAUUGGGACUGAGACACGGCCCAGACUCCUACGGGAGGCAGCAGAGGGGAAUAUAGCACAAUGGGGGAAACCCUGAUGCAGCGACGCCGCGUGAAGGAAGAAGUAUCUCGGUAUGUAAACUUCUAUCAGCAGGGAAGAUAGUGACGGUACCUGACUAAGAAGCCCCGGCUAACUACGUG
This 478-nucleotide ribosomal RNA is filed under the name uncultured bacterium. RNAcentral describes it as "partial 16S ribosomal RNA". It matches the Rfam family "Bacterial small subunit ribosomal RNA", at positions 28 to 507 of the family's 1533-position model. The record is from RNAcentral.